UGCGUAGACCAACGGUCAAACAUACGACCAAAUAAAUGCACUGCUAACAUGGGCACAAAUGAACGUUUUUAGAAAGGUUUAAACCAAAAAAAUAUAUAUACAAUAUAUUAAAUGUAUAUGCUAUAUCAUAUUGAAACACAUGCUAGCAAAGGCAUGCAUUUAACUGAAUGUCAGAACAAAGUACUCAUUCGGCUUUACAUAUAAAUUAAAAUUGAAAAUACCUCACCGACACUGAAAUAUCUGCUUUGUUAUCUAUGUAUGAAUUGAAGUUUAAGCUGCAGUAUCAGUGUCCGUAAUUACCUUGUCGUGUUAAUACUGAAGUAUAAAGAAUAGACUGAGAUCCAAGACAUCUAACCCCAAAGUGUAAAUAGAUUUAAGAAAAAAGGCUUAUGUCAUACGCGCACUGUUCUAUCUGAUAAAUGGUGUAACAGUUUUAAAAAUGUGUGUUAUUCCUAGACGUAAGUCUAACGAUUGGAUAAUGAAUAUGGACCUAGGAGUGAAACGAUAUUACAGCAUGCAGCCAUUUAUUGAUGGGAAUGUACCUAGUGCCAUAACAGUGAGGCACACAAUAAAUGUAGUAUUACAGGAGAAGACUAUGACAAACUCAAUAAUCACACAUAGAAUAAUAAUCGGAGUUGCCGAUGUUAAACGGUCCAUUCAGAGAGGUGGAUUUAUAAACCGGUUCGAAUGAGCUCUUAACCCGCACUUGGCAUUGAUAUCCUGAGCGUGGAUAUUUACUGGGUGACAGAGUUUAUCCGUGUCGUCCUUUUUGAUGACGCCUUUCCUGUAGCCAGUGUCAGAUGCUCAGCAGAGAUACAAUACCGCUCACAUCGACACAUAGAAUUGCAUAGACAGAGCCUUUGGAGUUUGGAAAAGGACGUUCCAUGUACUCCAUGGGGAGGUAUGUAUUCCAAGAUUAUUAAAAGAUUAAACGUCUCUUGCAAUCGCCAGCGCAUGUUAGUAAAAUAGUUAACUAUUAUGAGGUUCAGAAAAUGUAUUGUAUAGAUAUUAUUAAAUUAAUACUUACA
This is a long non-coding RNA of Dreissena polymorpha, 1028 nucleotides long. RefSeq lists it as uncharacterized. The transcript is spliced from 3 exons. The record is from RefSeq and is a predicted model, not a curated record. Lineage: Eukaryota; Metazoa; Mollusca; Bivalvia; Myida; Dreissenidae.